UGACCUCAAAUCAGGUAAGAGUACCCGCUGAACUUAAGCAUAUCAAUAAGCGGAGGAAAAGAAAAUAACAAUGAUUCCCUUAGUAACGGCGAGUGAAGGGGGAUAAGCUCAAAUUUUAAAUCUGCUAGGUUUUACUUAUCAGAGUUGUAAUUUGAAGAAACGUUUUCCGCGUCUCGGUUGACCCAAAUCCUUUGGGAUAAGGUAUCAUGGAGGGUGAGAAUCCCGUUCGGUUGACCUUAUGACGCUUUACGAUACGUUUUCUAAGAGUCGAGUUGUUUGGGAUUGCAGCUCAAAAUGGGAGGUAAAUUUCUCCUAAGGCUAAAUAUUGGCGAGAGACCGAUAGCGAACAAGUACCGUGAGGGAAAGAUGAAAAGAACUUUGAAAAGAGAGUAAAAUAGUACGUGAAAUUGUUGAAAGGGAAACGAUUGAAGUCAGUCGUACCGACGGAAAAUCAACUUUUUGAGUGCGGACUUGUGGGUUUACGUGAGCUUUACGGCCUCGUUGUUUGCAAUGUUCGUUCUUUUUGGGUGUACUUUUUCGUAUGGUUGGCCAAUAUCAGUUUCGAUCACUAUAAAAUGACCGGCGGAAUGUAGCUUCGAUCUCGUAUUGAAGUGUUAUAGCCUCUGGUAGAUGUGGUGUUUGGGACUGAGGAUUGCAACGAAUACCUUCUGGGCUAUCCGUCUGAUCUCUGAAAGUUGCUUAGGUGCCGAAAGCGUGCUUACGGUUAUUUAAGUUGACGGUCAAAAGGUUAGAACGUGAUUAUAUUCGUUAAGGAUGUUGGCGUAAUGGCUUUAAACGACCCGUCUUGAAACACGGACCAAGGAG
This 825-nucleotide ribosomal RNA is filed under the name uncultured Glomeraceae. RNAcentral describes it as "eukaryotic LSU rRNA". It matches the Rfam family "Eukaryotic large subunit ribosomal RNA", at positions 1 to 673 of the family's 3401-position model. Lineage: Eukaryota; Fungi; Glomeromycota; Glomeromycetes; Glomerales; Glomeraceae. The record is from RNAcentral.